GCUCUCCCAGCUGAGCUACGGCCCCUAAAUCAGAAUAAAGCGUUUAAAACGAUCAAAAGAGGGAUUACAAAAUCUAUAUAACUCAAAGCGAUAUGAUUGAACCGAUAGUUUCAUAUAGGCAUUGACGUCUAUGAGCAUUUGGAAUUUAUAUCAACCAAAUGGACGCUGUAAAAAUCACUUUGCAAGGAAUUUUGACUCCUUAGUAUUUAGCAUUUGAACUGUUUUUUUGCCAUUAAUUUGCUUUAACUUUGGAUUACUCACACAAAAGCAAUAAGCCUGCCAAUUUUGAUAAGCUUUUUAGAAGCAAUCUUUUUAGAAGUACUUAUUUUUUAAAAGCACUUAUGAAAGUAAUGGAUAAACUGGUGGGCCUGGGAGGACUUGAACCUCCGACCUCACGCUUAUCAAGCGCGCGCUCUAACCAACUGAGCUACAAGCCCUCCGGGAUAAACCGGAAAACCUUCCCCGGCAUCCUCUUAUAAAACGCUUAAAUUUUAUCAAGGAAAGCGUUUUUCAAAGCCCACGGUGGACUUGUUUUGUCUAGAUCGCC
RNAcentral lists this unclassified non-coding RNA (547 nucleotides) under uncultured Bartonella sp. Its description in RNAcentral is "partial 16S-23S ribosomal RNA intergenic spacer". Lineage: Bacteria; Pseudomonadati; Pseudomonadota; Alphaproteobacteria; Hyphomicrobiales; Bartonellaceae. The record is from RNAcentral.